UACAGAGGUCUCAAGCGUUGUUCGGAUUCAUUGGGCGUAAAGGGUGCGUAGGCGGGUCUUUAAGUCAGGGGUGAAAUCCUGGAGCUCAACUCCAGAACUGCCUUUGAUACUGAAGAUCUUGAGUUCGGGAGAGGUGAGUGGAACUGCGAGUGUAGAGGUGAAAUUAGUAGAUAUUCGCAAGAACACCAGUGGCGAAGGCGGCUCACUGGCCCGAUACUGACGCUGAGGCACGAAAGCGUGGGGAGCAAACAGG
Molecule: ribosomal RNA, 253 nt
Filed under: uncultured bacterium
Lineage: Bacteria
Description: partial 16S ribosomal RNA
Rfam family: Bacterial small subunit ribosomal RNA
Source: RNAcentral